GGAGGAUAUAUACAGGGGGUACCGGUACAGAGUCAAUGUGGAGGAUAUAUACAGGGGGUACCGGUACAGAGUCAAUGUGGAGGCUAUAUACAGGGGGUACUGGUACAGAGUCAAUGUGGAGGCUAUAUACAGGGGGUACCGGUACAGAGUCAAUGUGGAGGCUAUAUACAGGGUGUACCGGUACAGAGUCAAUGUGGAGGCUAUAUACAGGAGGUACCAGUACAGAGUCAAUGUGGAGGAUAUAUACAGGGGGUACCAGUACAGAGUCAAUGUGGAGGAUAUAUACAGGGGGUACCAGUACAGAGUCAAUGUGGAGGCUAUAUACAGGGGGUACCGGUACAGAGUCAAUGUGGAGGCUAUAUACAGGGGGUACCGAUACAGAGUCAAUGUGGAGGAUAUAUACAGGGGGUACCGGUACAGAGUCAAUGUGGAGGCUAUAUACAGGGGGUACCGGUACAGAGUCAAUGUGGAGGAUAUAUACAGGGGUACCGGUACAGAGUCAAUGUGGAGGCUAUAUACAGGGGGUACCGGUAAAGAGUCAAUGUGGAGGAUAUAUACAGGGGGUACCGGUACAGAGUCAAUGUGGAGACUAUAUACAGGGG
Long non-coding RNA from Oncorhynchus tshawytscha (Chinook salmon), 602 nucleotides. The record is from Ensembl. Lineage: Eukaryota; Metazoa; Chordata; Actinopteri; Salmoniformes; Salmonidae.